RNAcentral lists this ribosomal RNA (1073 nucleotides) under uncultured Microgenomates group bacterium. RNAcentral describes it as "bacterial SSU rRNA". It matches the Rfam family "Bacterial small subunit ribosomal RNA", at positions 340 to 1456 of the family's 1533-position model. The record is from RNAcentral.
UACGGAUGCAGCAGCAGGAUCUGCGCAUGGGCGAAGCUGACGCAGCGACACGCGUGUGGGAGAAGCUUUUCGGAGUGUAAACCACUGUGGCAGGGGAAGAAGUUCUGACUGUACCUGCUAGAAGCACUGCUAACUACGUGCCAGAAGCCUCGGUAAUACGUAGGGUGCAAGCGUUAUCCGGGAUUUACUGGGCGUAAAGCGUUCUGUCGGCGUCUUGGUAAGUUUCUUGUUUAAGCUGAGGCUCAACUUCAGACAAGCAAGAAAAACUACCAGGAUUGAGUUUGUUCGGGGGAUUUGGAAUUCUCGGUGGAGGGGUGAAAUCCGUAGAUAUCGAGAGGAACACCAAUCGCGAAGGCGGAAUCCUAGAACAAUACUGACGCUCAAAGACGAAAGCUUGGGUAGCAAAAGGGAUUAGAGACCCCUGUAGUCCAAGCCGUAAACAUUCCUCGCUAGCUGCUGGAUUUAUUUCAGUGGCGUAAGCUAACGCGUUAAGCGGGGCGCCUGGGGAGUACGACCGCAAGGUUAAAACUCAAAGGAAUUGACGGGGGAGCGCACAACCGGUGGAGCAUGUGGUUUAAUUCGAUACAAAGCGAAAAACCUUACCUGGGUUUGACAUGUACCUGCACGCUCUGUGAAAGCAGAGUUUCUUCGAGAGUGGUACACAGGUGAUGCAUGGCUGUCGUCAGCUCGUGUCGUGAGACGUCCGCUUAAGUGCGGUAACGAGCGCAACCCUUAUCCUCAGUUACAAGUGUCUGAGGAAACUGCCCCUGUUACUCAGGGGAGGAAGGAGAGGACGACGUCAAGUCAGCACGUCCCUUACAUCCAGGGCAACACACAUCCUACAAUGGAGCCGACAACGGGUAGCAACGGGGUAACCCCGAGCCAAUCCUUAUAAACGGCUCCUCAGUUCGGAUUGAGGGCUGCAAUUCGCCCUCAUGAAGCCGGAAUCGGUAGUAAUCGCAAAUCAGCAGGUUGCGGUGAAUACGUUCUCGCUCCUUGUCCACACUGCCCGUCAAGCCAGCAAAGUCGGCAACGCCCGAAGCGGGUGACCUCAACCUUUGGGAGAGGCCCCU